UACAGAGGGGGCAAGCGUUAUUCGGAAUUAUUGGGCGUAAAGGGCGCGUAGGCGGCUUGGCAAGUGGAAGGUGAAAUCCCUCGGCUUAACCGAGGAACUGCCCUCCAAACUGCUUGGCUUGAGUCCGGGAGAGGUGAGUGGAAUUCCCAGUGUAGCGGUGAAAUGCGUAGAUAUUGGGAGGAACACCAGUGGCGAAGGCAGCUCACUGGACCGGAACUGACGCUGAGGCGCGAAAGCUAGGGGAGCAAACAGG
This 253-nucleotide ribosomal RNA is filed under the name uncultured bacterium. RNAcentral's name for it is "partial 16S ribosomal RNA". It matches the Rfam family "Bacterial small subunit ribosomal RNA", at positions 524 to 776 of the family's 1533-position model. The record is from RNAcentral.